AAUAAAGUAGUCGUGCACAACACCAGAACAACCCCACGUGCCCAUAAUUUGCGGUACUUCAGAAAAAAAAGGAGUGAACAUAAAAGGGAGUAAAAUGUUGUGGCAGGUAAUUUCAAAUGCAGCAUUUCUAUCACCUCAACAAACACUAACUGUGUCACAGUGUGUUGCUAGCUAAAGCUCCACUUGCUGUAUUUCACAGGAAGAGAAAAGAAUGAGAGCUAACUUCACUCAGAGAUAUAGAAAGAAAGAGAAAGAAACCAGGCUGUAUUUAAAGACGUCUUGAAAACAAGUUUUAACAAAGUCCUGGAGAAGUGCCCAAUGCUGGAGGACCUCCUGCUUUACCCCUGGCUCAGAUAAACUCCUCUCUGACACAAACACACACGCAUACUGAAUUCACAUCUUGCCAUACAAAUGUGAUACAGUAACCAACUUUCUUUCUUUCAGAAAAAAAGAAAAUUGGGAGAUUCAAAAUUUUCCUCACAGUAAUGUUUGCAUCAGUCUAUCAGAUGAAUCCCCUCCAAGUCCAAUAUUUACAUCAGUUACAGUGAUAAUGCUUGGUGUCUACUUUCAGCCACCGCAGUAGAAUGCCAGGAAUGAAUCUCAUUGAAAUUGUAGUUGCAUUUGCUAUUUAAUUUAAUUGUCAUGGAUGAUACACAGACAACCCAACAGCAAACAGAGGAAAACAAUGGGCUUAAAUACACAGAGGGAUAAAUGAGGGAAUAAGACACAGGAUGAGAGCACAGCUGCGAGAAAUCACAAACAACAAGACCAUGGGGAAGAAAAACUGAGGAGCUUAGAAAGAAAACGUCUGGACUUCUUUAAGUUGCUUGAAGACGUUCAAGCAAAGUUUAAGUUCUUUUCAUCCCAGAAGGUGAAACAUCUUCAAGCAACUUCAAGUCCAGACGCUUUCUUUCCAAACUCCUUAGACUACGAUGACCUAGAUGACUGAGAACCUUCACAGACAUGAAAACACUAACAUAGCACACAAGACUAUCAAAGUAAAACAGCAAACAAGAGACUUUUACAAAGACACAGAGUUGACACAGAGACAUGACUGACUGGGGAGAAAUUGGGCAACAUGGAAAGAAGAAUGACUAGACAUGACACGUGGGACACAGGGGCAAGGCAAAGUAACAGAAACCUAAAGCCUAAGAAUAUAACACAAGAAGAAAACAAUAAAGAGAACCAAAAACAUACAUAAGAAUAAUCAAUGAAUAUAAAUGAACAAACACAAAACACUGGGUCACAGACUCAGUACCAUGACAGUUAAAUGUACAAUAAUAAAUACUUUAAAUCAGAUGACAAUGUAGCUGACACUGUGUUUAUUAGUGUGUGGUCAACCACAAAUCUUCAUACUGUCAUCCAUACAUGAGGUCUUUAUACAAACGAUGAAAGAUAAUGAAAGAAACUGUUUAAUUGAUAUGAAAUGAUUGAAUUAUAUGAAAUAUUAUGGCUUUGUCUGCCAGAGUGU
Molecule: long non-coding RNA, 1471 nt
Organism: Oreochromis aureus
Lineage: Eukaryota; Metazoa; Chordata; Actinopteri; Cichliformes; Cichlidae
Exons: 3
Source: RefSeq, a predicted model, not a curated record